Long non-coding RNA from Pan troglodytes (chimpanzee), 310 nucleotides. RefSeq lists it as uncharacterized. The record is from RefSeq and is a predicted model, not a curated record. Lineage: Eukaryota; Metazoa; Chordata; Mammalia; Primates; Hominidae. The transcript is spliced from 3 exons.
CAUGUUAGUCAUUUUGAGCUGAAGGCAUUUGGGAAACAUCAGAUGCAGGGAAGGCUCUCUAAUCUAUUCUUUUCUACCUAAGAAGAGGCCAUAAAAUGUCUCAUGAGAAAGGUUUACAGAGGACUUUCUGAGAAUCUAUAGUUUUAAAGCUCUCAUUGGUAUAAAGACAUAGAUGAUGAUGAGUGAAAAAUCUUUGUCAGAGAACAGAUGAAAUUCAUGAAUCCAAGGCCUUAUUUCUUGAAGAUGAAGUCCCCAGGUUUUCAAGCAUGUGGAGGCUACCUGGAAGUAUCCUGAGGAAAGGCAGGUUGUA